AGAUUGAACGCUGGCGGCAUGCCUAACACAUGCAAGUCGAACGGGAGUAGCAAUACUCUAGUGGCGGACGGGUGAGGAAUACGUAGGAAUUUGCCCUUAAGUGGGGGAUAACCCGGGGAAACCCGGAUUAAUACCGCAUGACCUCGAAAGAGCAAAGUGGGGGAUCGCAAGACCUCACGCUUUUGGAGAAGCCUACGUCGGAUUAGCUAGUUGGUGAGGUAAUGGCUCACCAAGGCGACGAUCCGUAACUGGUCUGAGAGGAUGAUCAGUCACACCGGAACUGAGACACGGUCCGGACUCCUACGGGAGGCAGCAGUGGGGAAUAUUGGACAAUGGGCGCAAGCCUGAUCCAGCAAU
Molecule: ribosomal RNA, 357 nt
Filed under: uncultured soil bacterium
Lineage: Bacteria
Description: bacterial SSU rRNA
Rfam family: Bacterial small subunit ribosomal RNA
Source: RNAcentral